This 73-nucleotide transfer RNA is filed under the name Myotis brandtii (Brandt's bat). It matches the Rfam family "tRNA". Rfam says of the family: Transfer RNA (tRNA) molecules are approximately 80 nucleotides in length. The record is from Rfam by way of RNAcentral. Lineage: Eukaryota; Metazoa; Chordata; Mammalia; Chiroptera; Vespertilionidae.
GCCACUGUGGCUCAUUUGGUUGGAGCGUCAAUCUGUACAUUGAAGGCCAUGGAUUCGAUUCCCAGUCAGGGCA